This is a non-coding RNA of Sphaerodactylus townsendi, 73 nucleotides long. The record is from the annotation of a RefSeq genome assembly. Lineage: Eukaryota; Metazoa; Chordata; Lepidosauria; Squamata; Sphaerodactylidae.
GGAGGGCAUGGCUCAGUGGUAGAGUAUUCGCUUGUCAUGCGGAAGGUGCCGGGUUCAAUCCCCGGCAUCUCCA